This 263-nucleotide long non-coding RNA is filed under the name Mytilus galloprovincialis (Mediterranean mussel). Lineage: Eukaryota; Metazoa; Mollusca; Bivalvia; Mytilida; Mytilidae. The record is from RNAcentral.
ACCCCAUAAAUGUUCCGUAAAUUCACUUUCAACUUAAUCAUUGAUUCCGAUUGUCCUUUGUAUUUAUAUGUAAAUGUUAUUCAAGCGUUCCAUAGUUUUUCCCACACGUUGAUCUUUGUAUUGAUAUGUAAAUGUUAUUCACGCGUUCCAUAGUUUUUCCCAAACGUUGAUCAUUGUAACAUAAUAACAUCUUCGAAUCAUGUUCAUAUAUAAAACAAACGUAAUUAUCAGUUCAUAUUCAUUGUUCUGUACACGAAACUGUU